RNAcentral lists this long non-coding RNA (1159 nucleotides) under Homo sapiens (human). RNAcentral's name for it is "novel transcript". The record is from RNAcentral. Lineage: Eukaryota; Metazoa; Chordata; Mammalia; Primates; Hominidae.
AGGAGCCUCGUGCUCUUGGCUCACUUCAUAGCCAUCUAGUUCUGUGGCCUACCAGUUCUCAUCCUUUGAAUUCUUAGGUUAGACGAGAAGAUACAUGAGAUCUCUAAAUCUUCAGGUUUAAACGUAGAUGUCUUUCACUACACCAGAGUAAAUAGCUUAUUCAAUAUUCAUUUUAUGAUCGUUAUUGGACUUCGGCUUCCUACUGCCUUUCAAAUAGGCCAUCGCAAGAUUUUGUCCAGUAGUAACGCCAGCAUUCAUCCUUUAAUGUUCGUGCCCGUCUCCUUAGUGCUUGAUAGAAAGGAUGCACUUCUUAUGUUAGCAAUGCUUGUGGAGCCUUUGUGGUCAUUCUCAGACAUGCACAGAGUGGGGAAAAACAUUGAGUCACCUGGAAUCCACGUUCAGCUGAGGUUGAACCAGCAAUCCUGGAAUCAGGGCACUACGGGUAACCACAUUCUCACUUUACAAAUGAUAACUCACACACCCCAUGGAAGAUCCGGGAAGUCUUCUGAUGCCCCUGCUUUCCAAGACAAUAUGAUGCUUCUCUACAUUCCAUGGACUAUGACAAGUAUAUCAGUCGUCGAAGUGGGUGGUUUAAUGGCAUGAUUAGCUCCAUUUUCUCUUCCUGCAGCAUAGCAAAGUGCAUAAAGCUUGAGCUCUGUGUCCAGCAGAUCUUUAUUAGAAUUCCAGUCCCCCCACAGUUACAUAUGCUCUCUCCCUGACAGUUUUCACAGAUGAAUCAUCCAGACUCCAUUUCCUAUUAGAGCUGGACCCUCCACUUGGACUUUUGACACUUAGACCCCUCUAGCCCACACAGGGACAUCAGUGCAAUAAUUCUCCCCUUUCUACAGCAUCAUUAAAUUUUGCCUCUCUCCUGGAUCAUCCCAUUCACAUAUUCAUAUGCUGUUAUUUCUCCCAUCUAAAACUGACCAGGCACUGUGGCUCAUGUCUAUAAUCCUAGCACUUUGGGAGGCCAAGGCUGGCAGAUCACUUGAGGCUAGGAGUUUGAGACCAGCCUGGCCAACAUGACAAAACCCCAUCUCUACUAAAAAUACAAAAAUUAGCAGGGUGUGCUGCACUCCAGCUUGGGCGACAGAGCAAGACACUGUCUCAAAAUAAAUAAAUAAUUAAUUAAAAAUAAAAUUACUUUCUCCUGAUCCCA